UACUUCCUACGGGACGCAGCAGUGAGGAAUAUUGGUCAAUGGACGAGAGUCUGAACCAGCCAAGUAGCGUGAAGGAUGACUGCCCUAUGGGUUGUAAACUUCUUUUAUAUGGGAAUAAAAUGUUCCACGUGUGGGAUUUUGUAUGUACCAUAUGAAUAAGGAUCGGCUAACUCCGUGCCAGCAGCCGCGGUAAUACGGAGGGUCCGAGCGUUAUCCGGAUUUAUUGGGUUUAAAUGGAGCGUAGGUGGAUUGUUAAGUCAGUUGUGAAAGUUUGCGGCUCAACAGUGAAAUUGCAGUUGAAACUG
This 305-nucleotide ribosomal RNA is filed under the name uncultured bacterium. RNAcentral's name for it is "bacterial SSU rRNA". It matches the Rfam family "Bacterial small subunit ribosomal RNA", at positions 333 to 635 of the family's 1533-position model. The record is from RNAcentral.